AAGGAUAUCCUUAUUGAUGAUGGUGUACCUGUAAUCUUGUUGAUUACAGAGAAGGAAGGAGGCAUUAUUGCCUACCACUAAUAGGAUUGGAUUUCCUAUUUGGUGAAGAGAUCUGAUAUCCUUAUGGCUAUAUAAGGAGGGGUUCAGCUCUAGGUUUUGUAUCGCAGAGACAAAGACCAAAGUGUGUUCCAUUCUCGGUUAGAGGGUGAGAGAGGGCGGAGAGGGGAGAGAUAGGUAGAGAAAAGAGAGUCUUUGUUUUCUUAUACUUUCUGGUGUACCCAUUAUUCAUAUCGUGGAGAGUGUUUUCUGCCGGUGGACGUAGGCAAAAGUUUUGCUGAACCACCUUAUAUCUGUGUUCUUUGUGUCUUAUCUUUGUGGUUGUUUCUCUUGGUUUGCUGUGUUCUUUUGGGGUUCCUUGACAUACAUAAUUGGCCGAUAUCACAACAGAACUGUUAUUAGUAUUAAUAUUAUUAUCAGUACCUUUUCAUUGCUACAAGGAUGAUAAAGCCAUGGCCAAACAUCAUUGUGUUGGCCUUGCCGCUUGUGGAAAACUUUACCCACGAGAUGUACACGUAGUAUAAUAAUGUGCAUAUCCUUUUAGAAAAUAGGUGUACACCUCUUGAACGAGGCAUCUGCCAUGAAUGAGGCAUACACCAUGAAUACGGGAAAAUCAUUUGGGGAAAUUUGUGCAGCAGAGAGAUGCUAAUAAAAGGACUGAAUGUCUGGUGGGGAUCUUUCCAAGUUUUUGUAUUUAAAAUUUGAACUCACUCUGCAGUUUUAACGGCCAUGAAUUCAGUUUUAUGGGCAUUUGGUAGGGAAAGGGGAUGUGAUUGAGGACUAGCUUUUUCCAGCUUUCCAGUCCUUAGAGAAUUGACAGAGAGAGAAAACUAAAACUAAACAUAUGUGAAAAUAGAUGUUUUGUGUGCCAAAAUUGAGUCACACAAUUCUAACUUCAUGUGUAUCUAUAUUGUAUAGGAGACUCUGUGCAUUAGUGGAGGAAAAGAUGAACCCACAGAAUUGUUGUUGACUUGCUGAAUGGUUCUUUUUUCAUGUGUGGAGUUAUUGUCAACAUGUAUUUUUUCUGAGUUUGUUUUGGUUAAGUUCAUUUCUUCUCGAUUGAAAAAUUAGAAAAUGUCACAAUGACAAAUGUUCUCUUGUUCUGAAUCUAAAUAUACUGCGGAUC
RNAcentral lists this long non-coding RNA (1183 nucleotides) under Fragaria vesca (wild strawberry). RNAcentral's name for it is "long non-coding RNA (FVES_LNC004026)". Lineage: Eukaryota; Viridiplantae; Streptophyta; Magnoliopsida; Rosales; Rosaceae. The record is from RNAcentral.